AGGGAUAGGGUCGGUUCGGCCGGGUUUCACACAGGUGUUGCAUGGCUGUCGUCAGCUCGUGUCGUGAGAUGUUGGGUUAAGUCCUGCAACGAGCGCAACCCUCAUCCUUAGUUACCAUCAGGUAAUGCUGGGGACUUUAAGGAAACUGCCAGUGAUAAACUGGAGGAAGGUGGGGAUGAUGUCAAGUCAUCAUGGCCCUUAUGGAGUGGGCUACACACGUGCUACAAUGGUGGCUACAAUGGGCUGCAAAGUCGCGAGGCUAAGCCAAUCCCUUAAAAGCCAUCUCAGUUCGGAUUGUACUCUGCAACUCGAGUGCAUGAAGUUGGAAUCGCUAGUAAUCGUGGAUCAGCACGCCACGGUGAAUACGUUCUCGGGUCUUGUACACACUGCCCGUCACGCCAUGGGAAUUGGU
RNAcentral lists this ribosomal RNA (412 nucleotides) under Wolbachia sp. RNAcentral describes it as "bacterial SSU rRNA". It matches the Rfam family "Bacterial small subunit ribosomal RNA", at positions 1005 to 1415 of the family's 1533-position model. The record is from RNAcentral. Lineage: Bacteria; Pseudomonadati; Pseudomonadota; Alphaproteobacteria; Rickettsiales; Anaplasmataceae.